This 794-nucleotide ribosomal RNA is filed under the name uncultured bacterium. RNAcentral's name for it is "bacterial SSU rRNA". It matches the Rfam family "Bacterial small subunit ribosomal RNA", at positions 8 to 796 of the family's 1533-position model. The record is from RNAcentral.
AGAGUUUGAUCAUGGCUCAGAUUGAACGCUGGCGGCAUGCUUUACACAUGCAAGUCGAGCGGCAGCGCGGGGCAACCUGGCGGCGAGCGGCGAACGGGUGAGUAAUGGAUAGGAACGUAUCCGGGAGUGGGGGGAUAACUAGCCGAAAGGUUAGCUAAUACCGCAUAUUCUGUGCGCAGGAAAGCGGGGGACCUGAAAGGGCCUCGCGCUCGCGGAGUGGCCUAUCUCCGAUUAGCUAGUUGGUGAGGUAAAGGCUUACCAAGGCGACGAUCGGUAGCUGGUCUGAGAGGAUGAUCAGCCACACUGGGACUGAGACACGGCCCAGACUCCUACGGGAGGCAGCAGUGGGGAAUUUUGGACAAUGGGCGAAAGCCUGAUCCAGCCAUGCCGCGUGCGGGAAGAAGGCCUUCGGGUUGUAAACCGCUUUUGGCAGGAACGAAACGGCGCGAGCUAAUACCUCGCGUUAAUGACGGUACCUGCAGAAUAAGCACCGGCUAACUACGUGCCAGCAGCCGCGGUAAUACGUAGGGUGCAAGCGUUAAUCGGAAUUACUGGGCGUAAAGCGUACGCAGGCGGCUUGGUAAGACAGAUGUGAAAUCCCCGGGCUCAACCUGGGAACUGCAUUUGUGACUGCCAAGCUCGAGUCUGUCAGAGGGGGGUGGAAUUCCACGUGUAGCAGUGAAAUGCGUAGAGAUGUGGAGGAACACCGAUGGCGAAGGCAGCCCCCUGGGAUGAGACUGACGCUCAUGUACGAAAGCGUGGGGAGCAAACAGGAUUAGAUACCCUAGUAGUCC